UAAAUAAAAACCAUAGAAAUUGGGGCUUGAAAUGUUGGGGUGUAGCCUCCCCCAAAACCUUAAACCCGCAUCUGUUGCUUGCUGUUGUCAUGUACAUGAAAGUUGAUCACACAUGGGAUAAGAUGUGUCUCCUCAGCUCCUCUCUGUUUCAACACAAACAUGGCAGAAUAUUUCCUUUCUUCAAUCUUAUUUUAUUAGAUGGAUUUUUUUACAUUUUAAUCUUUUUGUCUAUGUUGGCGUUAAUGCUGAGGUUCUGUAGGCCUUGUUUCCACUUAGUGCUUGAAUAGUGGGUAAUCUCACUUGCUGGUAACAUCCUGAAGAAGGUUAUUGUCAGUGGAGGAGGACGCCGUUAAAUUCGAUGAAGAGGAUUGGAUUUCUCAGACUGUGCUAGCUGGAUUUCUCAGAACGUCUGUAUAUUACAUCUGCUAAAUAUGUCUAUGUGACCAAUAAAAUGUGAUUUAUAUUCUACAAUUCUACAUGACGAUAGAUUGCACCAAAAUAUGGAGCUUCAAAACGAAGGAAGAACCCUUCUUAAGAGUAUAGGCUAUUUAUCUUUGAUUAGAAAAUAAUGAUAAUCUGUGUCUGACUAAAACACUGCAAAAGAGGACUUUAAAUAGAUCAUGGCCAGUCUUUGUCCCCUAAAUGGAUUCAAAAACUGGCCAGACAGACAAGAGGGCCUAAAUCCGACCAUUGUUCAUGUGGGCGCUUCACUGUAACCUCAGCCAGGAGUACAUAUCAUACAAAAGGUACCUUACUGGAAACCUUUUCCAACGGAUCUGAAACAGCCCAGGCAGUGAGACGGCCUUGUAACUUCUGUUAUAGACAACAGAACUGUUGAUUGAUGCUCAAUGGAGUUAGGUGUCUGAAUAUCAUUGAUCACCUCUUUACUAAACAGGAUAAACAUCUUAGUUCUGCAUAUCUGUUAAAUAUGCCAUGGUCUAGUGAUUGUGUCUCAGAGUAUGGGUCAUUUUCAGUCAGAGAGAUAGGCAUAUCCAAAUAACAAUAGUAAGGGAAAUGUAAUAUUGAAUUGUUGUUGCUUUAGAGGACAUUCAAUGAUGUUACACUUUAGUGUAUCCUCUUUCAAUACGCCACAAUUACAAAAUGUAAUAUACUUUACAUUUUACCACAGCUGGAAUUCAAUGAAACCCACCAUUGCAAUGCGUACACAUAGUCUGUUUCUAUACUAUUAGCCGUAUCUACACUCAUUUAUCUGAAAUAGAGAAUCAUAUAUACUGUGACCUGGUGAUAGGUUUUUACAGCAACCAAAAUCAUUGUGAUUUUUAUUUCACAAUGGGAAAAAGAGCUACUGACUGAAUGAUGCAAAGCGUGUUCGAUUGAAUCCCUUUAUUUAUCAAUUGUUUAUUUCUUAUUAUAUUUUGUUGUCAUAAUAAUAUGUUAGACAGAGUGACCUGUAGAAGAAAUGUCUUACAUUGCAAAUUCUGCAAUGUUAAUUCAUGUCAAUACUGAAAAGAUCAUCCAUUUCAGCAGCAGACCAUAUUACUUUCCACUGCUUAACCUUGCAUUAAUGGAAACAUUGAAAUAUGGUAGUUUGAGUGCCAUUUAAUUAAUAUAUUUGAUCUAAAAAGUCAAAGUCUACACAGUAAAAUACUACAAAUUAAUAGUUGUUAUUUGACACACAGAUAUAUGUUUACAUUUUUGUUAUCUUAACAUUUAUCCUCUUUAAUUCUGAUAAUGGAUCGAAAGAUUAAUGUUAGAUAUCUUUGUCUAUAACAGGUACAUUUGUUAUGCUUUUUCUUUCUAUUUUCAGAGUUGAUCUAAUGUGAUAAAGACAGAGCUACAUGGCCGUUUCAGGGUUGAUCUAAUGUGAUAAAGACAGAGCUACAUGGCCGUUUCACGGUUGAUCAAAUGUGAUAAAGACAGCGAAACAUAGUCGUUUCAGGGUUGAUCUAAUGUGAUAAAGACAGAGCAACAUGGCCGUUUCAGAGUUGAUCUAAUUUGAUAAAGACAGCGAAACAUAGUCGUUUCAGGGUUGAUCUAAUGCGAUAAAGACAGAGCAACAUGGCCGUUUCAUGGUUGAUCUAAUGCGAUAAAGACAGAGCAACAUGGCCGUUUCAGGGUUGAUCUAAUGCGAUAAAGACAGAGCAACAUGACCGUUUCAGAGUUGAUCUAAUUUGAUAAAGACAGAGCAACAUGACCGUUUCAGAGUUGAUCUAAUGUGAUAAUGACAGAGCAACAUGGCUGUUUCAGGGUUCAUCAAAUGUGAUAAAGACA
Molecule: long non-coding RNA, 2232 nt
Filed under: Salmo salar (Atlantic salmon)
Lineage: Eukaryota; Metazoa; Chordata; Actinopteri; Salmoniformes; Salmonidae
Description: lncRNA (ENSSSAG00000086801.1)
Source: RNAcentral